RNAcentral lists this ribosomal RNA (822 nucleotides) under uncultured bacterium. RNAcentral describes it as "bacterial SSU rRNA". It matches the Rfam family "Bacterial small subunit ribosomal RNA", at positions 57 to 877 of the family's 1533-position model. The record is from RNAcentral.
GCAGUCGACGGCAGCACGGACUUCGGUCUGGUGGCGAGUGGCGAACGGGUGAGUAAUAUAUCGGAACGUGCCCAGUCGUGGGGGAUAACGUAGUGAAAAUUACGCUAAUACCGCAUACGAUCUACGGAUGAAAGCGGGGGAUCGCAAGACCUCGCGCGAUUGGAGCGGCCGAUAUCAGAUUAGGUAGUUGGUGGGGUAAAGGCUCACCAUGCCAACGAUCUGUAGCUGGUCUGAGAGGACGACCAGCCACACUGGGACUGAGACACGGCCCAGACUCCUACGGGAGGCAGCAGUGGGGAAUUUUGGACAAUGGACGCAAGUCUGAUCCAGCCAUUCCGCGUGCAGGACGAAGGCCUUCGGGUUGUAAACUGCUUUUGUACAGAACGAAAAGGUUUCUACUAAUACUAGGGGCUCAUGACGGUACUGUAAGAAUAAGCACCGGCUAACUACGUGCCAGCAGCCGCGGUAAUACGUAGGGUGCAAGCGUUAAUCGGAAUUACUGGGCGUAAAGCGUGCGCAGGCGGUUAUGUAAGACAGAGGUGAAAUCCCCGGGCUCAACCUGGGAACUGCCUUUGUGACUGCAUAGCUGGAGUACGGCAGAGGGGGAUGGAAUUCCGCGUGUAGCAGUGAAAUGCGUAGAUAUGCGGAGGAACACCGAUGGCGAAGGCAAUCCCCUGGGCCUGUACUGACGCUCAUGCACGAAAGCGUGGGGAGCAAACAGGAUUAGAUACCCUGGUAGUCCACGCCCUAAACGAUGUCAACUGGUUGUUGGGUCUUCACUGACUCAGUAACGAAGCUAACGCGUGAAGUUGACCGCCUGGG